AGAACGAACGCUGGCGGCACGCCUAACACAUGCAAGUCGAGCGCCCAGCAAUGGGAGCGGCGGACGGGUGAGGAACACGUGGGAACAUGCCUUUCGGUUCGGCACAACUGCGGGAAACUGCAGCUAAUUCCGGAUACGCCCUUACGGGGAAAGAUUUAUCGCCGAAAGAUUGGCCCGCGUCUGAUUAGCUAGUUGGUGAGGUAAUGGCUCACCAAGGCUUCGAUCAGUAGCUGGUUUGAGAGAACGACCAGCCACACUGGGACUGAGACACGGCCCAGACUCCUACGGGAGGCAGCAGUGGGGAAUCUUGGACAAUGGAGGAAACUCUGAUCCAGCGAUGCCGCGUGAGUGAUGAAGGCCUUCGGGUUGUAAAACUCUUUUACCAGGUAAGAUAAUGACUGUACCUGGAGAAUAAGCCCCGGCUAACUUCGUGCCAGCAGCCGC
This 444-nucleotide ribosomal RNA is filed under the name uncultured bacterium. Its description in RNAcentral is "SSU rRNA". It matches the Rfam family "Bacterial small subunit ribosomal RNA", at positions 26 to 518 of the family's 1533-position model. The record is from RNAcentral.